This 444-nucleotide ribosomal RNA is filed under the name Triticum aestivum (bread wheat). Its description in RNAcentral is "partial small subunit ribosomal RNA". Lineage: Eukaryota; Viridiplantae; Streptophyta; Magnoliopsida; Poales; Poaceae. The record is from RNAcentral.
AUGACUAGAGAAAUGAAUGGGUUUUUGAUGGCCUCAAGGGGUAACUUGAAGUACAGAAGGAAAUGUGCCAAAAGAAAGAGGUCUCAAAGAAACAAGAACAGGGGUUUGAUACUUGGUUGCAAAGAGCUCAGGCCGUCCUCUUGUCGAAUCCAGAAGGUUGGGAUUGGAGGGCCCCAUAUUCGGAUUGAAGAUGGGAGUUUCAUCGGCAUGAACUUCUAUGAUGAAAGUGGAACAAUUCCUUAUCUGCCGAGCAAUAUUGCAGAAGUUUUGAGUAGAGGAUUUACUCUUCUGGACAUAGGAUUGGACAAAGGUCCCAUUAUCCUGGACAGGGACAAAAGGGGGAAUGCUGCGAAGAGAAACCGGUGGUCUGUGCCCGAGCCAUAUUGGUGUCUUGACGAUUAUGGUGAUGUUCUAGACCAGCUCCGUGGAAGAGUUCUCAUGUAA